RNAcentral lists this ribosomal RNA (500 nucleotides) under uncultured bacterium. Its description in RNAcentral is "partial 16S ribosomal RNA". It matches the Rfam family "Bacterial small subunit ribosomal RNA", at positions 30 to 523 of the family's 1533-position model. The record is from RNAcentral.
AUUGAACGCUGGCGGAAUGCUUUACACAUGCAAGUCGAACGGCAGCACGGACUUCGGUCUGGUGGCGAGUGGCGAACGGGUGAGUAAUGUAUCGGAACGUGCCCAGUCGUGGGGGAUAACGUAGUGAAAAUUACGCUAAUACCGCAUACGAUCUAUGGAUGAAAGCGGGGGAUCGCAAGACCUCGCGCGAUUGGAGCGGCCGAUAUCAGAUUAGGUAGUUGGUGGGGUAAAGGCCCACCAAGCAAACGAUCUGUAGCUGGUCUGAGAGGACGACCAGCCACACUGGAACUGAGACACGGUCCAGACUCCUAAGGGAGGCAGAAGUGGGGAAUUUUGGACAAUGGGCGAAAGCCUGAUCCAGCCAUUCCGCGUGCAGGAUGAAGGCCCUCGGGUUGUAAACUGCUUUUGUACAGAACGAAAAGGUUUCUACUAAUACUAGGAGCUCAUGACGGUACUGUAAGAAUAAGCACCGGCUAACUACGUGCCAGCAGCCGCCGUAA